AGUGAACGCUGGCGGUAGGCCUAACACAUGCAAGUCGAACGGCAGCACAGUAAGAGCUUGCUCUUACGGGUGGCGAGUGGCGGACGGGUGAGGAAUACAUCGGAAUCUACUUUUUCGUGGGGGAUAACGUAGGGAAACUUACGCUAAUACCGCAUACGACCUACGGGUGAAAGCAGGGGAUCUUCGGACCUUGCGCGAUUGAAUGAGCCGAUGUCGGAUUAGCUAGUUGGCGGGGUAAAGGCCCACCAAGGCGACGAUCCGUAGCUGGUCUGAGAGGAUGAUCAGUCACACUGGAACUGAGACACGGUCCAGACUCCUACGGGAGGCAGCAGUGGGGAAUAUUGGACAAUGGGCGCAAGCCUGAUCCAGCCAUACCGCGUGGGUGAAGAAGGCCUUCGGGUUGUAAAGCCCUUUUGUUGGGAAAGAAAGGCAGCAGGUUAAUACCCCGCUGUUCUGACGGUACCCAAAGAAUAAGCACCGGCUAACUUCGUG
This 492-nucleotide ribosomal RNA is filed under the name uncultured bacterium. Its description in RNAcentral is "partial 16S ribosomal RNA". It matches the Rfam family "Bacterial small subunit ribosomal RNA", at positions 29 to 507 of the family's 1533-position model. The record is from RNAcentral.